AAAAUUUCGUAAUUGUAAGCGAGAGUAGUUACGUGAAGUGACAUUAACCGAACACUUGCCUCAUCCAUGAUAUACAAAUAGUUGAAAUUUGAUUCACAGUUUUGUUAAUACGAAAUGGCUUUGCAUUUGAGCAUUGGGUGUUUGUGUUGUUUAAGCCCAAUGAGGGGUCAGAAACAGAAAAUCAGAGGUGUAGCAGCUGAGAGUAGUGUUAAACUUAACUCAGAAGAAGAAGAUAAGGUGAAGCUUGGUGGCUCUGAUUUGAAGGUAACUAAGCUUGGAAUUGGGGCUUGGUCUUGGGGUGACACAAGCUAUUGGAACAACUUCGAAUGGGAUGAUAAGAAACUUAAGGCUGCAAAGACUGCUUUUGAUGCUAGCAUUGAUUCUGGAAUCACAUUCAUCGAUACUGCUGAGGUUUAUGGUUCAAGGUUUUCAUUCGGUGCGAUAAAUUCUGAAACACUACUAGGAAGAUUCAUCAAGGAAAGAAAAGAAAAAGAUCCAGAGGUGGAGGUUGCUGUUGCAACUAAAUUUGCUGCAUUACCAUGGAGGCUUGGUCGUCAAAGUGUCCUAGCGGCCCUAAAAGAUUCUCUUGCACGUAUGGAACUUUCUUCAGUUGAUCUUUAUCAACUUCACUGGCCAGGAAUAUGGGGAAAUGAAGGUUAUAUUGACGGUUUAGGAGAUGCAG
Molecule: unclassified non-coding RNA, 682 nt
Filed under: Hevea brasiliensis (rubber tree)
Lineage: Eukaryota; Viridiplantae; Streptophyta; Magnoliopsida; Malpighiales; Euphorbiaceae
Source: RNAcentral